AAGCCCGGGUUUUCCCUUUUGAGAGCCACAACCAAGAAAUAAAAAUCUAGCAAAGAGGGGGCCACUUUCUGCGGCGAGAUACGCCCUCUCGGCCGCUCCUCCAGCUCCCAGGCCCCCUCCCUACUCGACGGAUGGUCUGGUGGUAUUUGGGAAAAAUUCAGCCCGGCCCAGAGAUGAAGUGCAAGAGGUUGUGUAUUUCUCGGCUGCUGAUCACGAACCGGAGAGCAAGGUUGAGUGCACUUACAUUUCAAUCGACCAAGUUCCGAGGACCCAUGCCAUAAUGAUAAGCAGACCCGCCUGGCUCUGGGGAGCAGAAAUGGGAGCCAAUGAACAUGGAGUGUGCAUAGCCAAUGAAGCCAUCAACACCAGAGAGCCAGCUGCCGAGAUAGAAGCCUUGCUGGGGAUGGAUCUGGUCAGGCUUGGUUUAGAAAGAGGGGAAACAGCUAAAGAAGCCUUAGAUGUCAUUGUCUCCUUGUUGGAAGAACAUGGACAAGGUGGGAAUUACUAUGAAGAUGCAAACUCCUGCCACAGCUUCCAAAGUGCAUAUCUGAUU
This 553-nucleotide small RNA is filed under the name Pan troglodytes (chimpanzee). RNAcentral describes it as "processed transcript". Lineage: Eukaryota; Metazoa; Chordata; Mammalia; Primates; Hominidae. The record is from RNAcentral.